Molecule: long non-coding RNA, 622 nt
Filed under: Elaeis guineensis (African oil palm)
Lineage: Eukaryota; Viridiplantae; Streptophyta; Magnoliopsida; Arecales; Arecaceae
Description: long non-coding RNA (EGUI_LNC033427)
Source: RNAcentral
CCCUCUAUUGAUCCAAAAAUUAAUUUUGAUGAAUAUAAAAUAUUUGAAUAAUUAUUUUAAUACUAAUGAGUUGUUGAAGUUCUUAUGAAGAAAAUUAAAAAAAUUAAAAUCAUCAUUGAGAAGCAUGUAUUAAAUGACAAGUCUUGGAGCCCUAGAAAGCUGAAUGGAUAAAGCUAGAUCGUAAAACAUUAAGAGGAAGAGACUAAGAGUCGACUCCUAGAUUCAAUGAGUCGACUCUGGCACACAAAUGGAAGUGGCACGGACUAGGAGUUAACCUCUACUUAGCCUCGAGUUGACUCUGUCAAUCAAAAAGAAAGUAGAAUUUUUAGUGCCAGACCUCUAGUUGACUACUACUUGACCUCGAGUCGACUCUCUAAGGAAAAAUAGAGAAGUGCAUUCUGUGGAUCAAUCUUCAAGCUGACUCCUAUUUCUAUCGAGCUGAUUUAUAGUUUGCUCGAGUCGAUCCCUACUUGAUCUCGAGUCGACUUGACUGUGGCUGACAGCUCUAUGACUUGUUUUACAAAAAAUUUAAAAUUAUUUAGAUAUAUUUCAACAGGUAGUUUUUGAUCUCUAAUGGCUAGAAAUGGUUAUUUUCACUCUUUAGAGAAUUUAAAGGCCACCA